Molecule: ribosomal RNA, 468 nt
Filed under: uncultured bacterium
Lineage: Bacteria
Description: partial 16S ribosomal RNA
Rfam family: Bacterial small subunit ribosomal RNA
Source: RNAcentral
GACGAACGCUGGCGGCGUGCUUAACACAUGCAAGUCGAACGGAAAGGCCCUGCUUUUGUGGGGUGCUCGAGUGGCGAACGGGUGAGUAACACGUGAGUAACCUGCCCUUGACUUUGGGAUAACUUCAGGAAACUGGGGCUAAUACCGGAUAGGAGCUCCUGCUGCAUGGUGGGGGUUGGAAAGUUUCGGCGGUUGGGGAUGGACUCGCGGGUUAUCAGCUUGUUGGUGGGGUAGUGGCUUACCAAGGCUUUGACGGGUAGCCGGCCUGAGAGGGUGACCGGCCACAAUGGGACUGAGAUACGGCGCAGACUCCUACGGGAGGCAGCAGUGGGGAAUAUUGCACAGUGGGCGGAAGCCUGAGGCAGCAACGCCGCGUGCGGGAUGACGGCCUUCGGGUUGUAAACCGCUUUCGCCUGUGACGAAGCGUGAGUGACGGUAAUGGGUAAAGAAGCACCGGCUAACUACGUG